This 200-nucleotide unclassified non-coding RNA is filed under the name Nectriaceae sp. Its description in RNAcentral is "partial internal transcribed spacer 2". Lineage: Eukaryota; Fungi; Ascomycota; Sordariomycetes; Hypocreales; Nectriaceae. The record is from RNAcentral.
UUAAGUUCAGCGGGUAUUCCUACCUGAUCCGAGGUCAACCUUCAGAAGUUGGGGGUUUAACGGCGUGGCCGCGCUUUGUCCCGUUGCGAGGUUAGAUUACUACGCAGAGGAGUACAGCGUGACCGCCACUAGAUUUAGGGGACGGCGGGCGCGGAGGCUCGCCGAUCCCCAACACCAAGCCCGGGGGCUUGAGGGUUGAA